This is a non-coding RNA of Solea solea (common sole), 501 nucleotides long. Lineage: Eukaryota; Metazoa; Chordata; Actinopteri; Pleuronectiformes; Soleidae. The record is from the annotation of a RefSeq genome assembly.
UCAGUCGUCACGGCAGAGACCACAACCACCAUGACUCUCAUCACCAUCCUCAUGUGGACACUGACCUGCUGCUGCUGCUGCUGCUUCACAGGAUGCAGUGGUCAGGUGACUGUGACUCAGCCUCCUGUGGUGACAACUACUCCAGGAUCCACUGUCACUCUCACCUGUAAAACCAACCCUGCUACUUAUUCCAAUUGUGGCGACAGUAGGCCAUGUAUGUUCUGGUACCAACAGAAACCUGGACAGACUCCAAAGCUCCUGAUAAGACAUGUGAACGUCGCACAUUCAGGAACACCUGCUCGGUUUAGUGGCAGUGGAAGCAACUCUGACUUCUCAUUGACCAUCAGUGGAGUUCAGACUGAAGAUGCUGCAGUGUACCACUGCAUGGGUGUGCACCAAGUAGGCAGUAAUCGGCCGUGCACACAGUGAAUUGUCGUCGUACAAAAACCUAUGAAAGUGCAGAGACACUGAGCUGUUACAACAGGAUGAGACCGAGACACA